AGACUUGUGUAGAGUGGGUUUUAGCCCGGCUUAGGGCUAAAUCUUUAGGGAGAGAUUGAACACAUUAGGAAGAAUUCAUGCUGGUCGCCAUGUAGAAGCAGCAGUUGGGCCAGCCCUUCUGCUUGCUGACCCUAGGAAUAUAGUUCUUUGGGGAGGUGACCCCUCUGCUGCUCCUGGAGAGAUGGGAGAGCUGGAGGCAGAGCCCACCCAUAGUUCUUCAGCCCCUUUGCUCUUAGGGAUUCGGUGUGGGGUCAGCCGCUUCAUCUUUGUGCUGGCAACAGAGUAAGUGCCCUCCUAAGGAUGUGUAUUUAAUACAAUCUGGAAGAAGUAUUUUGUGUUCUGUCUCCCAGGGCUUCAGAGUUCCAGUCCUGGGUGCACAUGUUGGCUAAGUCCUGGUGACCUGUGAUGCUGCUGAGAAGCAUCAAUCAGUUCAUCUUGUGAUUAGUGCUUAACAUUGUGUAAGAGAAAUUAAACUGGAAUAUCAGACUUGGGGAGUUCUCUUUUUAAGCCACCUCCUUCCCAUUUGUAUCCUCAGCCGUUCAAGAAGAAAGAUCUUGAUUAAAAUGUGCAUGGUUUUUCAC
This 581-nucleotide long non-coding RNA is filed under the name Bos taurus (domestic cattle). RNAcentral describes it as "long non-coding RNA NONBTAT022752". The record is from RNAcentral. Lineage: Eukaryota; Metazoa; Chordata; Mammalia; Artiodactyla; Bovidae.